This 253-nucleotide ribosomal RNA is filed under the name uncultured bacterium. Its description in RNAcentral is "partial 16S ribosomal RNA". It matches the Rfam family "Bacterial small subunit ribosomal RNA", at positions 524 to 776 of the family's 1533-position model. The record is from RNAcentral.
UACGGAGGGUGCAAGCGUUGUCCGGAUUUAUUGGGUUUAAAGGGUGCGUAGGCGGCCCGUUAAGUCAGUGGUGAAAUAUCUCAGCUUAACUGAGAGGGUGCCAUUGAUACUGCAGGGCUUGAGUACAGAUGAGGUAGGCGGAAUUGACGGUGUAGCGGUGAAAUGCAUAGAUAUCGUCAAGAACACCGAUAGCGAAGGCAGCUUACCAAGCUGUAACUGACACUGAGGCACGAAAGUGUGGGGAUCAAACAGG